RNAcentral lists this ribosomal RNA (253 nucleotides) under uncultured bacterium. Its description in RNAcentral is "partial 16S ribosomal RNA". It matches the Rfam family "Bacterial small subunit ribosomal RNA", at positions 524 to 776 of the family's 1533-position model. The record is from RNAcentral.
UACGGAGGGUGCAAGCGUUAAUCGGAAUUACUGGGCGUAAAGCGCACGCAGGCGGUCUGUCAAGUCGGAUGUGAAAUCCCCGGGCUUAACCCGGGAACUGCAUUUGAAACUUUCAGUCUAGAGUCUUGUAGAGGGGGGUAGAAUUCCAGGUGUAGCGGUGAAAUGCGUAGAUAUCUGGAGGAAUACCGGUGGCGAAGGCAGCCCCCUGGACAAAGACUGACGCUCAGGUGCGAAAGCGUGGGGAGCAAACAGG